UACGAAGGGGGCUAGCGUUGCUCGGAAUCACUGGGCGUAAAGGGCGCGUAGGCGGCCGAUCAAGUCGGGGGUGAAAGCCUGUGGCUCAACCACAGAAUUGCCUUCGAUACUGUUUGGCUUGAGACCGGAAGAGGUAAGUGGAACUGCGAGUGUAGAGGUGAAAUUCGUAGAUAUUCGCAAGAACACCAGUGGCGAAGGCGGCUUACUGGUCCGGUUCUGACGCUGAGGCGCGCAAGCGUGGGGAGCAAACAGG
This 253-nucleotide ribosomal RNA is filed under the name uncultured bacterium. Its description in RNAcentral is "partial 16S ribosomal RNA". It matches the Rfam family "Bacterial small subunit ribosomal RNA", at positions 524 to 776 of the family's 1533-position model. The record is from RNAcentral.